Molecule: ribosomal RNA, 292 nt
Filed under: uncultured bacterium
Lineage: Bacteria
Description: partial 16S ribosomal RNA
Rfam family: Bacterial small subunit ribosomal RNA
Source: RNAcentral
GUGUCAGCAGCCGCGGUAAUACGGAGGGUGCAAGCGUUAUCCGGAUUCACUGGGUUUAAAGGGUGUGUAGGCGGGCAUGUAAGUCAGUGGUGAAAUCUCCGGGCUCAACCUGGAAACUGCCAUUGAUACUAUAUGUCUUGAAUUUUGUUGAGGUUGGCGGAAUAAGUCAUGUAGCGGUGAAAUGCAUAGAUAUGACUUAGAACACCGAUUGCGAAGGCAGCUAACUAAGCAAAUAUUGACGCUGAGGCACGAAAGCGUGGGGAUCAAACAGGAUUAGAAACCCUGGUAGUCC